CGACCAGACUCCUACGGGAGGCAGCAGUGGGGGAUAUUGCACAAUGGGGGGAACCCUGAUGCAGCGACGCCGCGUGGGUGAAGGAGCGUUUCGGCGCGUAAAGCCCUAUCAGCAGGGAAGAAGAAAGACGGUACCUGACUAAGAAGCCCCGGCUAACUACGUGCCAGCAGCCGCGGUAAUACGUAGGGGGCAAGCGUUAUCCGGAUUUACUGGGUGUAAAGGGAGCGUAGGCGGUAAUGCAAGUCAGAAGUGAAAGCCCGGGGCUCAACUCCGGGACUGCUUUUGAAACUGUGUUGCUAGAUUGCAGGAGAGGUAAGUGGAAUUCCUAGUGUAGCGGUGAAAUGCGUAGAUAUUAGGAGGAACACCAGUGGCGAAGGCGGCCUGCUGGGCUUUAACUGACGCUGAGGCUCGAAAGCGUGGGGAGCAAACAGGAUUAGAUACCCUUGUA
RNAcentral lists this ribosomal RNA (448 nucleotides) under uncultured bacterium. RNAcentral describes it as "partial 16S ribosomal RNA". It matches the Rfam family "Bacterial small subunit ribosomal RNA", at positions 328 to 792 of the family's 1533-position model. The record is from RNAcentral.